RNAcentral lists this ribosomal RNA (253 nucleotides) under uncultured bacterium. Its description in RNAcentral is "partial 16S ribosomal RNA". It matches the Rfam family "Bacterial small subunit ribosomal RNA", at positions 524 to 776 of the family's 1533-position model. The record is from RNAcentral.
UACGUAGGGUGCAAGCGUUGUCCGGAAUUAUUGGGCGUAAAGAGCUCGUAGGCGGUUUGUCGCGUCUGCUGUGAAAACUCGGGGCUUAACCCCGGGCCUGCAGUGGGUACGGGCAGACUAGAGUGCGGUAGGGGAGACUGGAAUUCCUGGUGUAGCGGUGAAAUGCGCAGAUAUCAGGAGGAACACCGGUGGCGAAGGCAGAUCUCUGGGCCGUAACUGACGCUGAGGAGCGAAAGCAUGGGGAGCGAACAGG